This 1417-nucleotide long non-coding RNA is filed under the name Theobroma cacao (cacao). RNAcentral's name for it is "long non-coding RNA (TCAC_LNC003924)". Lineage: Eukaryota; Viridiplantae; Streptophyta; Magnoliopsida; Malvales; Malvaceae. The record is from RNAcentral.
AACGCCAUUCUCUCAUUCUCCCAUGGCAAGCUAAUUUUCUUUCAUUUUCUUUCCUUGUUUUCUUUUCAUUUCUUUUCUCUUCUUGCUUCAUUCUUCUCCCAACUUCUUGUGCACCAAAGUUACAACUUCUAACCCCAAUUUCCAGCACAUAUAAACUCUAGGAGAAGAAGAAAGAAAAAGAGAGAAAAGAAAAAAAAGCUUGGUUUUGGUGAUUCAAGCAAGGAACGCAAAGAUUGGCUUGAUUGGAGAAAAAUUGAUAACAUGUAAGCCAAUAAACCCAUGGGAACAUGAAGGACUCAAAGUGGAAAAGGAAAGCGGAAUGCAAAGAUAAAGUUAGAGUAUACUGGGGGCAUGUCGGAGUAAAUAACGAGUGACCGGCUAGUGAAAAUAGUUAAAGACACCUCCGAUCAAAUAGCGAUGUAAUAUCCUGCUAUAGUAAGGUGUGUGGACUUGUAUUUCAAACUUGUUUUUGGGAAUAUGAAAGAUUCUAUCCAACUUGUCUUAGAAAAUGUACUUUGGGAACAAGCUUUUAGUAAAAUGAUUUUAUAUUGUGAAAAUAUGUUAUACAAUGGUUAUGUGUUAUCGCAAUAUGAUAAAAUGCAUGAUAUGCAUUGGAUGCUUAUUUGCAUGUUGAUGUGGAUCCGGCUAUGUGUGAGUAGGAGUGCACAUAAGUCGUUACUGACCCGGCUAUGUGUGAGUGGGAGUGCACAUAAGUCAUUGCUGACCCGGCCAUAUGCAAGUGGGAGUACGCAUAAGCUGUUGCAUAUGAGAUGAUGAUGAUGGGAGGGUGUAUGUGAUGAUUGAUAUAUAUAUAUAUACAUAUAUGGUAUAUGGUUGUAAAUGCAAAUAUGUGAGCAUUUGAUUUGUUGAAAUUUGAGAGUUUACAUGUGUUACAUGUUGCUAUUGUUAUUCUAGCAGGAUGGCUUGUUUUAAAGGAAAAUGAGACUUUUUUCUUGAUAUUCUGACUCUCGCUGCAACGAGAUUCAUUCUCGCUGCAGCGAGAAACUCUCGGGUUUGAGGGCCUUCACCAGACCUGGUUCUCAUUGCAGUGAGAAACUUUCUAUCUAUUUUGGCUAACUUGUGGGUUUUGCUAUAUUUUUCGAUUCUUUGGUACCAUAGUUGAGUAUGGAUCUUUUAAGUGAUUUACUCAUGAGGGGUUUACAUGAGGGGUUCUACUAAGAACUAGAACAAAUUGCAUUGUUUUGAGAAAAUGAGUAUAUCAUUAUUUCGAUAAACAUUCUUUAUGGUAUGUUUGCUCUCUUCCUAUGUUCACUCACUGAGUUUAUACUCAUGUUUGUAACUCCAUGUUUUCAGAUUCAUUGGUGGUUGAUACGUAGAUUGAGGUGUCUGCGUACCUCCAUCCCUUGGGUAGGUAUCUUGACACUCAGUAGUCAUAUCUUCCCAUCCAGAGUCACUC